This 1230-nucleotide ribosomal RNA is filed under the name uncultured Russula. RNAcentral describes it as "eukaryotic LSU rRNA". The stretch from base 605 to 1230 matches the Rfam family "Eukaryotic large subunit ribosomal RNA", at positions 1 to 633 of the family's 3401-position model. Lineage: Eukaryota; Fungi; Basidiomycota; Agaricomycetes; Russulales; Russulaceae. The record is from RNAcentral.
AGGAUCAUUAUCAUACAAUGGAGGUGCAAGGGUUGUCGCUGACCUUUUAAAGGUCGUGCACGCCCGAAGCACACUCCCACACAUCCAUCUCACCCUUUGUGCACAACCGCGUGAGUCCCCUCGGAAGGGGAGGCCCACGUUUUUUCACACAAACCUUAAAGCAGUGUAGAAUGUAUUUUCUUUUUUGCGGUGAUACGCGAUCAAUACAACUUUCAACAACGGAUCUCUUGGCUCUCGCAUCGAUGAAGAACGUAGCGAAAUGCGAUAUGUAAUGUGAAUUGCAGAAUUCAGUGAAUCAUCGAAUCUUUGAACGCACCUUGCGCCCCUUGGCAUUCCGAGGGGCACACCCGUUUGAGUGUCGUGUAAUCAUCAAAACCUUUUCUUUGAUCAUUUUGGUCAGGAAAGGGAUUUUGGACUUGGAGGAUCGAUGCUUGCUCUCACCUCUUGAAAGCGAGCUCCUCUCAAAUAAAUUAGUGGGGGUUUGCUUCGCCGAUCCUUGACGUGAUAAGUCGUUUCUACGUUUCGGAUUUGGUCGGACACCUGCUUCUAACCGUCCUAUGGACGACGAUGGCGUUCCGGUCACCUGGAACCCAUAAGAAAACCUUGACCUCAAAUCGGGUGAGACUACCCGCUGAACUUAAGCAUAUCAAUAAGCGGAGGAAAAGAAACUAACAAGGAUUCCCCUAGUAACUGCGAGUGAAGCGGGAAAAGCUCAAAUUUAAAAUCUGGUGGUCUUUGGCCAUCCGAGUUGUAAUUUAGAGAAGCGUCUUCCGCGCUGGACCAUGCACAAGUCUCCUGGAAUGGAGCGUCAUAGAGGGUGAGAAUCCCGUCUUUGGCAUGGACACACCAGGGCUUCAGUGAUGCGCUCUCGAAGAGUCGAGUUGUUUGGGAAUGCAGCUCAAAAUGGGUGGUGAACUCCAUCUAAAGCUAAAUAUUGGCGAGAGACCGAUAGCGAACAAGUACCGUGAGGGAAAGAUGAAAAGCACUUUGGAAAGAGAGUGAAACAGUACGUGAAAUUGUUGAAAGGGAAACGCUUGAAGUCAGUCGCGUCGGCCGAGACUCAGCCUUGCCUCGGCUUGGUGUAUUUCUUGGUCGACGGGUCAGCAUCAAUUUUGCCCCUUGGAUAAUGGUGAGGGAAAUGUGACACCUUCAUAGGUGUGUUAUAGCCUCUCAUCGCAUGCAAGGGUCUAGGAUUGAGGAACUCAGCAUGCACCUUCGGGUGUCGGGACU